AGUGAAAUUGCUGAAUCAUAUGGCAAGAAGACGUUCAGUUUUGUAAGAAACUGCCCAACUGUCUUCCCAAGUGACUGUACCCUUUUGUUUUCCCAGCAGCAAU
This 103-nucleotide microRNA precursor is filed under the name Marmota monax (woodchuck). Lineage: Eukaryota; Metazoa; Chordata; Mammalia; Rodentia; Sciuridae. The record is from RNAcentral.